Molecule: long non-coding RNA, 210 nt
Filed under: Elaeis guineensis (African oil palm)
Lineage: Eukaryota; Viridiplantae; Streptophyta; Magnoliopsida; Arecales; Arecaceae
Description: long non-coding RNA (EGUI_LNC015085)
Source: RNAcentral
ACCUAGUCACUCAGGGCUAAUCGUUGGCACAUAUUGAUGUAUCACAUAUUUAUUUUUAAGAUUAAUUUUUUUGUCCUAUCAUAGGGUUAACCGUGGUAGUAUGAAUCAAAGCUAAUUCCUUUCUAGGCCAAGCUAGUGUUCUAGGCCAAGCCAGUGGGGCUGAUCACUGAUACACGAUGAUAGAUUAUGCAUUCUGUAUUUAGGAGCUAG